This 844-nucleotide ribosomal RNA is filed under the name uncultured Flavobacteriaceae bacterium. RNAcentral describes it as "bacterial SSU rRNA". It matches the Rfam family "Bacterial small subunit ribosomal RNA", at positions 36 to 873 of the family's 1533-position model. Lineage: Bacteria; Pseudomonadati; Bacteroidota; Flavobacteriia; Flavobacteriales; Flavobacteriaceae. The record is from RNAcentral.
CUAGCGGCAGCUUAACACAUGCAAGUCGAACGGUAACUCUUGGUGCUUGCACCAAAAGACGAGUGGCGGACGGGUGCGUAACGCGUAUGCAAUCUACCUUUUACUAGGGUAUAGCCCAGAGAAAUUUGGAUUAAUCCCCUAUAAUAUCAUGAAAUCGCAUGGUUUUAUGAUUAAAGCUUCGGUGGUAAAAGAUGAGCAUGCGUCCUAUUAGUUUGUAGGUGAGGUAACGGCUCACCUAGACUACGAUAGGUAGGGGCCCUGAGAGGGGGAUCCCCCACACUGGUACUGAGACACGGACCAGACUCCUACGGGAGGCAGCAGUGAGGAAUAUUGGACAAUGGACGAAAGUCUGAUCCAGCUAUGCCGCGUGCAGGAUGACAGCCCUACGGGUUGUAAACUGCUUUUAUACAGGAAGAAAAACUCCGACGUGUCGGGGCUUGACGGUACUGUAAGAAUAAGGAUCGGCUAACUCCGUGCCAGCAGCCGCGGUAAUACGGAGGAUCCAAGCGUUAUCCGGAAUUAUUGGGUUUAAAGGGUCCGCAGGCGGUUUUUUAAGUCAGAGGUGAAAUCCUACAGCUCAACUGUAGAAUUGCCUUUGAAACUGAAAGACUUGAGUUAUUGUGAAGUGGUUAGAAUGUGUGGUGUAGCGGUGAAAUGCAUAGAUAUCACACAGAAUACCAAUUGCGAAGGCAGAUCACUAACAAUUAACUGACGCUCAGGGACGAAAGCGUGGGUAGCGAACAGGAUUAGAUACCCUGGUAGUCCACGCCGUAAACGAUGGAUACUAGCUGUAUGUCUACCUCAGGUAGAUGUGUGGCCAAGCGAAAGUGAUAAGUAUCCCACC